GGUGAACGCUGGCGGUGGGCCUAACACAUGCAAGUCGAACGGCAACACAGGGAAGCUUGCCCUCUGGGUGGCGAGGGGGGGACGGGUGUGAAAUACAUCUGAACCUGCCCAGACGCGGGGGUAAACGUGGGGAAACGGACGCUAAUACCGCAUACAACCUUCAGCGGAAGGAGGGAGAUCGAAAGACCGCUCUCGUUUGAAUGAGCCGAUGUCGGAUUAGCUAGUUGGCAGGGUAAUGGCUCACCAAGGCAACGAUCCGUAGCUGGUCUGAGAGGGUGAUCGGCCACACUGGAACUGAGACACGGUCCAGACUCCUACGGGAGGCAGCAGUAGGGAAUAUUCCGCAAUGGGCGAAAGCCUGACGGAGCAACGCCGCGUGAGUGAUGAAGGUCUUCGGAUCGUAAAACUCUGUUAUUAGGGAAGAACACAUGUGUAAGUAACUAUGCACGUCUUGACGGUACCUAAUCAGAAAGCCACGGCUAACUACGUG
RNAcentral lists this ribosomal RNA (490 nucleotides) under uncultured bacterium. RNAcentral's name for it is "partial 16S ribosomal RNA". It matches the Rfam family "Bacterial small subunit ribosomal RNA", at positions 28 to 507 of the family's 1533-position model. The record is from RNAcentral.